UCCUAGACAUAUCUAUAAUUUCUUCUUGUUCCAUGAUCUUUUGGGUGACACUGUUAUCUGUUUUGCUACACUUUUAUAUCUUUUUACACAUAUUUGGACUAACCUACUAACUCAGUGCACCCAAUGCCAGCUUUUGUCUGUUGAUGUCUUUUUUGCACGGACUUUUACCCAAAUUUCCAGAGUCCCAAAAAUCCCGAGAAAAAAAAAUAUAAAAAUGAGCGUGACAGAAGUUUCACGAAGCACGAAGA
This 248-nucleotide long non-coding RNA is filed under the name Hordeum vulgare. RNAcentral describes it as "long non-coding RNA (HVUL_LNC012762)". Lineage: Eukaryota; Viridiplantae; Streptophyta; Magnoliopsida; Poales; Poaceae. The record is from RNAcentral.